UGGGCCCAGCUCGGACUGGUCCGCCGGGCCCAAGGGCUCUGGUGCCUUCUGGAAAGCGCUGGCUGGGACUUCACCCUCCUCCUGCAUGUGACGGACACAGCACUGAUCCUGGCAGCUCCUUACCCCCAGCAGCCCGAAACUCACUCCUUAAUUACACAAGGGAAACCUUUUACCUCCGCAGCCAGAGUCUGGGGGGAAAGGCAGGCGUGGGAAGAUGGGUUCUCUACCUGGCCAGUGCCAUGUUGCCUGUUUCUUUACUGUAACUGUGGUGACAAAGAAAAGGGAAGAUGGAGCCUCCAUGUUGAACAUACCUGGCCCCCAGCACUAACUCCCUCUCUGGAUAUCUGGAACAAGGAGGACCUUAAACUUAACAAUAAAGCCAAUGAUGGUUCUACCAGUCUCCCCAAAGCCUCAAGUUUAAAAGCCAUAUGAACUGGCUGAUAGUGGAAAAUGGAAGCCAUGAGGAAAUCAGAUUAGAGUACUACCUGGUGAAGCCUGGAGGACCUACCAAGAAAAGCAAACUUGGAUCUUUGCAAGGUUAGAAGAACGAAUGGGAUCCAAGAAAAAGACUGGUCAUAUUCAACGGCUAAGAGCGUUGGAGAAGGCCUGUGGAGUCUCAGCAGGUCAGGUCCAUGACUCAUGAGUAGACACCUGUGUUUCUACUGCCUGGUGCCAUAAUCAUAAACAAGGAAGAAACUGAGGACAGGAGGGGCCAAACAAGUUACAGUUUCAUCCCUCCAGAGAGCCAACAGAGUAUUUUGCACGAAGUUGAAGCUAAACAGGUAUUAUGUCCUAUCUCUGGACUGAAUGACUAGAUGCUACUCAGCUUCUGAACUAGAGGAAGCCUGGGACCUUGACCGCACUAAUGCUGAUGACAGCGGAUUUGCAAGUGGCUAGAGGUACCAGAUUUAGCAAAUCAAAAUAUAGGACGUCAAGUUAAAUUUAAGUGUAAGAUAAGCUACGAAUACCUUUUCUAGUAUUAGUACGUCCCAUGCAAUAUACUAGAAAUGUUAUUCGUUAUUUAUGUUAAAUUUAAUUUUAUUAGGGCAUCCUAUAUUUUACCUGUCAAUCCAACCCAUGACCUAGGCAGACACUGUAGAAAAACAAAAGGAGAAUUAAGGAGAUAAAUGAAACACAGGGUGAGCUGAAAAGAGGUGCUCUGUGAAUUUGAGGGUCCAGUAGGAGCUGACUUGUAGGUACUUGGUCUGUUUUGAUGCCCACAACAACCUUGGGGAAGGGGCGGAAUAGCAGAGGGGUAAGCUCUCUGCCCCCCACCAGGGUUCUGCAGGACGCCAGGGCUUUUAUCAGCACCCCUAUGUUCACAUCCUGGCUGCACCCUCCUUGGUUGUAUAUACUCUGGAUAAUUCACUUAAUUUAAAUCUUGCUGCUUUUAUAAAAUUGAUAAAAAGUUAAUAGUGACACUGAUCACACUGAUGUCCCUCAAUGAAUUAUCAAUAUGUUUUUUCUUCCCACCUAUAUUCUUUAUUGAACUCUGUUAUUUUUGAUCCUGGUCUAGAGUAAGCAUUAUGACCAUGCAAGAGUGAAAUGAAAUUUUUAAAAAUAAUUUUUUAAUGUUUUCUGAAUGCUGGGUGUUUUCAAUGAUCAUGCAUGACUGGCAGCAAAGAGGAACGAGGAUGGAUUCGAUAAGGUGCAACAAGUCCUGAACACACACAGAGAACUGGCUGUGAAUCCUGUUUCUGCCACUCACCACUUACUUGUUGGUGAAAAUGCUCAGGAUGUUCACUGCAGCCUGCCUCACCCUGGAAAAGAGAUGUGAGGAUAAUGAGAAAGAAGAGUAUGUUCAGUGCGGAGCAUGCAAAUUUGCAUGAAAACUUCCCAGGCAAAGCAGGAAAGAAACCAGACCUCUUUUCUGCACAAUAAUGGGGCCCACUAACUCUGGGGAAAAGAGUAAUCAGCAAAUGCCUUUCCUUUCUCCUGCUGAUGUUUUGCCCGUACUCAGACCCCUUGACUUCUUAGCUUCUACCCAAAGUGAGCUUGUCAUCAAAGUUCUCCAAAAAUCUGCAGUGUUCUCUUGAGCAAAUCUGUUCAAUACACUGAUUGAGGCCAGGCGCGGUGGCUCACAC
RNAcentral lists this long non-coding RNA (2084 nucleotides) under Homo sapiens (human). RNAcentral describes it as "HSALNT0361144". The record is from RNAcentral. Lineage: Eukaryota; Metazoa; Chordata; Mammalia; Primates; Hominidae.